RNAcentral lists this unclassified non-coding RNA (304 nucleotides) under Hevea brasiliensis (rubber tree). The record is from RNAcentral. Lineage: Eukaryota; Viridiplantae; Streptophyta; Magnoliopsida; Malpighiales; Euphorbiaceae.
GUAACCUAUACUUUUCCGACGGCUUCUUCCGCCGUAGCUCCGCCGUCAACUUCCAACAACCACCCUCUGAAAAAUCCCAUUUUUCUUAUUUUCAACUUCCCUCUUUUGUUCAAUUUAACUUUUUUUUACUUCACAUGUGCUUGCUCAGCAGAAUGUGUGACUUGGUCAAGAUUCAAGAUCUGAAGCAAAUUUAGGGAUCAACAACUGUUUUUCUGAUCUGGGUCUUCUCUGUUUCUCAGUUUGAUUCUAGUAUCUGUGCAUAAGAAUGUUCCAACUGUAAUUCGCUGUGAGAUUCCUAAAGAUU